CUGGUGAGUGGUGGAGCCUGGGUUAGAACUCAGAUUUUCUAACUUACAAAAAAAUCUUUUAGAAGGAUAUCAAAAUCAGCCUUAAUCAGAAUGCAAAAAUAAAUUUAAAAGUAGGCAGAUAGCAGCAAUAUCAACAACAAUAACUGGUAUUUUAUAAGUGCUUACUAUAUGCUGGGUACUGUGACAAGGUUUUGCUGGAUUAUCUCAUUUAAUCAUUACAACCAUCCUGUGAGGUGACAACAUUAUUAUUAUUUCCAUUUUGUAGAGAAAGCAAUUGAGCACAGAGGAGUUAAGUCCUACACACAAUGAAGUAGUGCAGUAAAGACAGGAAUGCCUGUGUGGUCCGGCUCUGGAAGAUGACCCUCAUCACAGCUGUCAUUUGGCCUUGCAGUCCACUUCAGAAGACACAUGCAGUGCAUCUUCACAACCUCAUCUGGAAGCUAUUUGUUUUACUCUUAGAAUCUGGAGCGGAGCCAAGCUUAAACCUUGGCCCUCAGUUAUGGAAUGUUGGAAAUUUGGUGCACCUUUGGAAGCUCUGAAGAGGGAGGCACUUGUGUGUCUUCUUGCAAAAGGCAUGCUCCUGUCCUGAUCAAGCCAUUGAAGACCCUCCAUUGCCUUGGGGAAAACCUUAUGCUUCUGGUUUGACAUUCUUGUUUGUGUUUCCAUUACCUAGUCCUAGGAAACUCCAACUUAUCCCGAUCCUUCCUGCCUUUUUUUUUUCUUGGUAUAGAUCCCUCUCCCAGUCCAUGAAGCUGGUUGUUUGAAGACUUUUGGUCAGUACCACCUGUUGGUCAUUUAAACAAUGACUCAACCUGUGACUGAAAUUCUAAAUGGAAGACAAAUAUUACAGAUAUUUGAAUAUCCCUUGGUAAUUUACUGAUUGUGACUACCCAAUAUAUUCAAGCACACACAAUGGGCUGCAUAUGUAUCCCACAGUGGUCCUCUAAGGUUAUAAGGGAGCUGAAAAGUUCCUGUAACCUUGUGAUACUAUAACUUCACAAUAAAAUGCAGUAUCCAUGUUUUUGUGGAGCUGCU
This 1035-nucleotide long non-coding RNA is filed under the name Oryctolagus cuniculus (rabbit). RNAcentral's name for it is "lncRNA (ENSOCUG00000038381.1)". Lineage: Eukaryota; Metazoa; Chordata; Mammalia; Lagomorpha; Leporidae. The record is from RNAcentral.